AGCUUAGAAAUGGUAUUGGCAACCUUAAAAUGCAAAAUGUGGUAUGUUGGAAGUAUUAAAACCAAUGUACUUAUUGUCCAUGUAAAAGUCAACAUUUUGUUGACUAAUGAAUUGAAUAGUAACACUAAUACUUGAAUUUCAAGAAUUGUGAAACUUAAAAGUGUAAUAUACCCUAGUAUGCCUAGCAAGAUUGGUUUGGAUAGG
This 204-nucleotide unclassified non-coding RNA is filed under the name Hevea brasiliensis (rubber tree). The record is from RNAcentral. Lineage: Eukaryota; Viridiplantae; Streptophyta; Magnoliopsida; Malpighiales; Euphorbiaceae.